AGCAGCCUUGGAUACAGACAGGCCAGAGAUGCAUAUCAAACAAUUAUCCAGCCAGGCAGAACCAACAACGUUUCAGAAAUCGGCAAAUAUCUCUCAGUGGUAACGUUAAACGAGAACAGUUUCACCUCACCUCACCAAUCAAGAGAUCCAGUACGGAUGACUGAAUUAUAAAACUAGAUCCAAGAAACACAGCUUACUGAGCAUUUUAUCACAACUGAAGAGAAACUAAGACAAAAAUCAGUACCCAGAAAAUGAGUGGGGCAAUUUCUAUAUGAGCAUACCAAUGAAGUUCUCCAGUCCUUUGAGCUGUUACCACUGAAACAUUCAAUAGUUUGGUGCUUUGGAAGGAGAGCUUAAUAGCCAUUUUUCUGGGAUCUUGAGAAACAAAAUGGUAUCAGAAAUGGAGGCCUGCUCAUGAGAUCUCAAAGGAGAAUGGGAGCUCUAUUGGAGAUGGACUAGGCGGCAUUCAUGUGAAGUUUUGGCAAAAAAUUUGACUACAUUCUGCCCAUGUCCUGAGAACUUCCAUGAAACUGAACUUAAACAUAUUUGACUAAUUUGUUUGAUCAACUGAGGAAAUGGGAACAAGAUUACAAUUUCACAGAAAGAGUACAGACAACAAAGCAGCUAUAAUUGUUCUUGAGAGUAGCAUCACUGAAUCGAACAGUGGCACUCUACACUGCAACAACAUAAAAGAUGACUUUUAGAUAAAACCCACUCAAUAAAGGCUCCAUAAAACAAUGCAAAUUUACAUGAAAGAAGAAAGCCUGAACUGAGAAAGCAGCUGAGGGAAUUCUCCGUCCCUCAAAAGCAGGAGCUUAAGAGAGACCUUUCCCAAGGUCAGCACACAAAAGCUGAUGCAACUCAGGUCCAAGUGUCCUAGGUACCAUCUAAUGGUAAGAACAGAACUUGACAGUGUCAUCCACAUGGUUUUGGUUAGAAGCAUGAAGGACAAGGUUGCAAGUGUCAUGGAGUCCUACUCCAUUCUGUGGUUUUAAAGAACUGAGGACAGGCAAUGUGUGGCAGGAUCCAAGACCCUGCAAUGGAGGUCUCCAAGAGAACAUUGUGUGAAGUUGCAAGAUAGACCUAGGUGGCAGUAGAGACUCCAGGAUAUUAGAGAUACCAAGAACAUGGGAGAUUUGUGAUGGAGACCUGUAGCCAUGAUACAUAGCUGAGAAAGAGACUAUGUACACUACAGAUGAUGGAGUUGGAGGGGCGGAACAUGUUAAAAACAAAAAUCAUUAUCUCAGCUUUGAAUUAAGUGUGAUAACAUUUCAAGUAUAAGUUGAAGCUACAGAGCUUAUCCUGAGGUUUCAAGAAAAAUUCCCAUCAAGAAAAGUUGCUUGUUCAUCUCUGAAAAUGAACGAGGUGGAGUAAGUGUAUGUCAUGUAAGGCUUUAAAUGGCUAAGAAAAGAAGGAUAACUUGGUUCAUGUUAUCUACCCCUGGAUGGCCUCUAGGCACUGUACAAACAAGCAGAGAGUAAGGUUAACUCUACAGCAAAGGAGGAAGAAUCGUAAACAUAAGGAAAAUGAGACUUACAGGUGCUUUCAGUUUUGAGUAUUUUGCAGAUGGCGCUUACUAUUUUUCCAGCACCAUGAGAGGUGGUUGCUGUAAACAGCUCUGGGUGAACAGAACUGUUCCUUAGAGUCUGGCAUUACAUCCCAAGGGAACACAGUUCUGAGCUUUGGGGUUCUGCCAAUGACAUUUGAAACAUCUGCUUUGCUGGGCUUGGUGGUAGAGCCCUGUAAGUCUGACUCUGAGGACAUCACAAGAGGAUCAGGAGCUCAAGUUCAUCCUUAGUUAGCUACCUAAUGAGAUUGAGGCUGUUGUUCUACCUGAGGCCAUGUCUCAAAACAGAACAACAAUUGUCUGCCUUGGAGCCUCUUGGGCUGUAGGCUUGCAUCUGUCCUUCAGGGUAUAAUGAGAGUGCUGUUGCUCUUACAGAGUGCUAUAAAUGGAUGUAUUUAAAGGUUCAUCUCUAAGUCUCUGUCUCUGAGCCUAAUACAGGAGCUGAACACAGAUUUGGGACACACAUUUUGGCAUCUCAACAUUGUCUGAAGGAGUUCGCUCCAGACCACAAAUCAGAGUUGUGUGUGCAACACAACUUUCCAACCUUCACUUGUAGGCAAUAAGAAAGCCAGAACAAAGUACAACUUUAACAUUUUCCAGUGGACUGAGAAAGAAACCACAGGCUUCUUGGGAAUACAGCAAGCAGAAGUUCAGGAGGCAAAGCUGGACAAAGCUUCCCUUCUGCUGAAGCUCCAGAGAAAAUUGGCUCCACAUUGCACAAUAGAUGACUCAAGUAGCACAUGGUGGAGCUAAGUGAUGUGAGCCCUAGCUUUAUAUUUCAGGAGAGCUGCCAACAGGAGAUACUAUCUGCUCCCAAAGGAGAAAGUUUUAAGUUACAAAAGUAUCAGGGUCCAGACCAUCUGGAGAAACACAUUUUUCUAAGUGAUUUGCUAGGAAAACCCUACUUCAAAGUCUCAGAGCUGAAGUGUGAUUACAUUGUUAAUAAAACCUAAGGGUAGAGAGAGUUGUCUGUUCAUUCCAAGAUGUAGAAAAUGUAUGACCAUUCCACCUGAAUGAGGGUUCCACCCAUACUGGCAAAGCAGAGUAGAAUCAAACACGGUGAUCAUAAAGGCAAGAAAUAUUGCUCCUCAAAGGACAGCAAC
Long non-coding RNA from Mastomys coucha (southern multimammate mouse), 2670 nucleotides. RefSeq lists it as uncharacterized. Lineage: Eukaryota; Metazoa; Chordata; Mammalia; Rodentia; Muridae. The record is from RefSeq and is a predicted model, not a curated record. The transcript is spliced from 5 exons.